CAGUCCCACGGUAAUACGGAGGAUCCAAGCGUUAUCCGGAAUCAUUGGGUUUAAAGGGUCCGUAGGCGGUCUUGUAAGUCAGUGGUGAAAGCCCAUCGCUCAACGGUGGAACGGCCAUUGAUACUGCAGGACUUGAAUUAUUGGGAAGUAACUAGAAUAUGUAGUGUAGCGGUGAAAUGCUUAGAGAUUACAUGGAAUACCAAUUGCGAAGGCAGGUUACUACCAAUUGAUUGACGCUGAUGGACGAAAGCGUGGGUAGCGAACAGGAUUAGAUACCCGCGUAGUCCCUGUCUCUUAUACA
RNAcentral lists this ribosomal RNA (301 nucleotides) under uncultured bacterium. RNAcentral's name for it is "partial 16S ribosomal RNA". It matches the Rfam family "Bacterial small subunit ribosomal RNA", at positions 509 to 808 of the family's 1533-position model. The record is from RNAcentral.